RNAcentral lists this unclassified non-coding RNA (210 nucleotides) under Hevea brasiliensis (rubber tree). The record is from RNAcentral. Lineage: Eukaryota; Viridiplantae; Streptophyta; Magnoliopsida; Malpighiales; Euphorbiaceae.
CUACAAAUUGAUGAUUAGAUGGUGAGUCAUGGUGAACCAUUCCUUCUGGCAACAUUAAAUCUCCCUGAGAAUUCAUGUUAGGAGGAUGAGAUUCAAAUUGAUGAAACAACUUGACAUUAUUCGUUUGUGGGGGAUGAAGCUGGGAAAAGGAGGAAUGAACAGGAGCUUUUCGAUGUGGCAUUUCAUUCUCCCUCCUAUCAUAGGGGUUGG